AACGAACGCUGGCGGCAUGCCUAACACAUGCCAGUCGAACGAGACCUUCGGGUCUAGUGGCGCACGGGUGCGUAACGCGUGGGAACCUGCCCUUAGGUUCGGAAUAACUCCCCGAAAGGGGUGCUAAUACCGGAUAAUGUCUUCGGACCAAAGAUUUAUCGCCUUUGGAUGGGCCCGCGUUGGAUUAGCUGGUUGGUAGGGUAAAAGCCUACCAAGGCGACGAUCCAUAGCUGGUCUGAGAGGAUGAUCAGCCACACUGGGACUGAGACACGGCCCAGAAUCCUACGGGAGGGAGCAGUGGGGAAUAUUGGACAAUGGGCGAAAGCCUGAUCCAGCAACGCCGCGUGAGUGAUGAAGGCCUUAGGGUUGUAAAGCUCUUUUACCCGGGAUGAUAAUGACAGUACCGGGAGAAUAAGCUCCGGCUAACUACGUG
RNAcentral lists this ribosomal RNA (433 nucleotides) under uncultured bacterium. RNAcentral's name for it is "partial 16S ribosomal RNA". It matches the Rfam family "Bacterial small subunit ribosomal RNA", at positions 29 to 507 of the family's 1533-position model. The record is from RNAcentral.